AUUAAGUAGAUUCUCCUUCCUCAAGGAGGUGGGGCAUAAUACUACACUCUUCAUAUCUGCUUGCACAGUGACUUUCUUCCAAAUAGUAUGAAAUAUGAAAAGAAUGAAAAAGAAUAACUUCACAGUGGGGAAACAAAAUUUUUCAGAAUUAUAUAAUCUUUUGUUGUAGAUAAUGAUUUUGGUAAGACUGGAGUAUUUACUGGAGAAAGGAAAAGCACGGACACCAGAAGAUGGAUUUGAGAGCUACGUGUAGAACAGGUUGGCUUUGGAUUAAUCAUUGGCUUUGAAGAAGCCCAGUUUAAGGAGGGAACAAGUACAAAAAUCCUGAAACGAAAGUGUUGAAAUUGCACUGAGAAAUACUAGAGUGUUUCAAGUCCCGAAAUGAAAGAAUCAUCACUUAUGAAUAUAGAAUCGCUUCUGGCAAUCAAGUGACUAAUGUUAGGGGUCACAGGGUUUUCAUAAUCAAGAUUUCACCACACCCAUACCUGAAGUCACUAAUGACCACUCCUAAUAGUAACACUUUCCCUGGAGCAAGAGGAAAAGCUGGCAACAAGAGUUCACUUAACCAUAUCACAUAUUUCCAGGCUGUAACAUAGGGUUAAUAAAAAGUGAGA
Molecule: long non-coding RNA, 614 nt
Filed under: Felis catus (domestic cat)
Lineage: Eukaryota; Metazoa; Chordata; Mammalia; Carnivora; Felidae
Description: lncRNA (ENSFCAG00000041902.2)
Source: RNAcentral